GAAUAUAGAGAAGCUGCUCGGGGGGCUCUGGGGCAGUGGGGGAAGGGACGUUCUUCCUCCUUCACAUGGGCCUAUGCUUCAGAGCCAUGGGGAGAGUUUCUGUUCUUUCCUGUGGUGCCCACAUCAGCCUGGAGGGAUGGGCAGGGCAGGGGCUGCCACCCAGAGUUGACAGCUCUGGGAAGUGAAAUGAGGGAUUUGAAGUGACCUGCCCAGAGUCACAGCACUCGGGAGUGAUGGAUCUGGGACAAGAAUGUAGUUGGUUUUCUGGGGACAGAGGUCCCUGAACGCCUGAGACCUCCAAAUCAUGGACUGGACCCUGAACCAGGGGCUCUUUUCACUCCCUUUCUCGAUCCUCCUGCCCCAGGUCUCUUCAGGAAGGUGGAUGCCUGGAGGUGGCUAAGUCCAGAGAAGAGCUUCAAUCAUUCAAACAGAAACCUCCGGCCCCUGACCUUGCUUUGUGGUGAGCACAUGACCAGUGACCAUCCCAAGGGACCAGGGGGGUCUGUUUGGCCGCCAGGCUGGCUCAGAACUCAGGACGUUCCAAGCCAACUGCCACUUAACGGCUGUGCCAGGAAAAAACCUUCCUGCAACUGACCAACCCUGCAGGAGCAGUUAACGGAAGUUAACUGAAAAUGUGGCCAUCGGGGCUGGUGCAUCAGUGGUUUGAUGAAUUCUAUCCACGACCCAUCCAUCUUGCUGACGGCCGACCUGAGCAGCUACCUGAGAGCUGGCAGCGCUCGCUCGAUGAAGGCCGCCGAAUGACCUGGAAGCCACCCUGAUGGGCAGGGCCCUCGAGGUUAAUGAGACACAGGUUUGGAUGUCUCUAUUCAGAAGACUUUGGCCUGUAAUCCCCCUCUCAUGGGCUGUCUCACACCGCACUUGGUAUCAAGAUUCUCCCGAUCUGGUGAAGGCAGUGUUGCUGUGUUCCUUCUGGAUCUAUUCUAUGGAAAAGAGUGCAUAAAAUUGGCAUGGGAAAUGGGACAUUUUUCUAAAUAGAGGAAAAUAUUUAAGGCAAAAAUCCUGAUAGAAAAAUCAAGAAUACAAAUUCAGAGCUUGGGAAAUUCAUCUCUCCACCAUCUCCAAUCUGAGGACGGGGUAUGUUACACUAACCUUCAGGUACAGCUGUGAUGAAGGAUGAAGUGUUGACUGAUGCGGGGAUGGAAUUUUGUUUCUAGAACAUUGAUCCUUGGGUUGUGCUUUGCACAGAGGAGCAUGCUUUCUAGAGAAAUGCACACACACUCCCAAAGGCAUUCACCAUCACUCCACACGGACUCUCUCCUCCAUAUCUCCCCACCCUGAUGCACCCCUAUUCCUAUUUAAAUGACAUCACUGCUUCUGGGAACUGCAGUGGAUGGCCACAGUUGUUGACUAAACUCUUCAUUUCUUUACACCAAACUGCCCAAACCUCAUUUCCAGCAGGAGGCUCAAACCAGGGUAGUUCUCCAGCAAAAGUAGGGAGGAAAGUGUCACCUUUCUCAAAGCUAAGAUUUUUCCUUAUUAAAUGGGAGAUCCCAGAGUACGCACGUUAGAGCUGAAUCGCUGAGUGUGUCUGCAGAGAGAAAGGAAAACACCGUGAGCCUCAGACCAUGCUGUGUCCUGUGUUCAUGGGUCUUUUCUUCACUUGGUGACAUUAGAAAACUGGUUGGGAGAUAGUGCUCGAGGCAAUGGCCCCCAAAUAAAGCCUAGAAGACACUUGAGGAAAUGUA
Molecule: long non-coding RNA, 1706 nt
Organism: Homo sapiens (human)
Lineage: Eukaryota; Metazoa; Chordata; Mammalia; Primates; Hominidae
Product: long independently transcribed non-coding RNA 2222
Exons: 2
Source: RefSeq, marked validated